UAACACAUGCAAGUCGAACGGUAACAGGAGAGAGCUUGCUUUCUUGCUGACGAGUGGCGGACGGGUGAGUAACACAUGGGAAUUUGCCUCGAGGUGGGGGAUAACCUGGGGAAACUCAGGAUAAUACCGCAUGAUCUGUUUGGAGCAAAGUGGGGGACCUUCGGGCCUCACGCCUUGAGAUGAGCCCAUGUUUGAUUAGCUAGUUGGUGGGGUAAUGGCCUACCAAGGCCACGAUCAGUAGCCGGCCUGAGAGGGUGGACGGCCACACUGGGACUGAGACACGGCCCAGACUCUUACAGGAGAAGCAGUGGGGAAUAUUAGACAAUUUUUUUUCGCCCGCCGCGCCCCGC
RNAcentral lists this ribosomal RNA (350 nucleotides) under uncultured Halothiobacillus sp. RNAcentral describes it as "bacterial SSU rRNA". It matches the Rfam family "Bacterial small subunit ribosomal RNA", at positions 49 to 400 of the family's 1533-position model. The record is from RNAcentral. Lineage: Bacteria; Pseudomonadati; Pseudomonadota; Gammaproteobacteria; Chromatiales; Halothiobacillaceae.